UCCUGGGUGGCUCAGUCGUUGAGUGCCUGACUUCUGCUCAGGUCAUGAUGACACCACUCAUGGGUUUAAGUCCCAUACCAGGCU
RNAcentral lists this transfer RNA (84 nucleotides) under Felis catus (domestic cat). It matches the Rfam family "tRNA". From Rfam's summary of the family: Transfer RNA (tRNA) molecules are approximately 80 nucleotides in length. Their secondary structure includes four short double-helical elements and three loops (D, anti-codon, and T loops). Lineage: Eukaryota; Metazoa; Chordata; Mammalia; Carnivora; Felidae. The record is from Rfam by way of RNAcentral.